This 839-nucleotide ribosomal RNA is filed under the name uncultured Bacteroidota bacterium. RNAcentral's name for it is "bacterial SSU rRNA". It matches the Rfam family "Bacterial small subunit ribosomal RNA", at positions 34 to 863 of the family's 1533-position model. The record is from RNAcentral. Lineage: Bacteria; Pseudomonadati; Bacteroidota.
CGCUAGCUACAGGCUUAACACAUGCAAGUCGAGGGGAAACGGCAUUGAGUGCUUGCACUCUUUGGACGUCGACCGGCGCACGGGUGAGUAACGCGUAUCCAAGCUUCCCAUUACUGUGGGAUAACCUGCCGAAAGGCAGACUAAUACCGCAUAGUCUUCGAUGACGGCAUCAGAUUUGAAGUAAAGAUUUAUCGGUAAUGGAUGGGGAUGCGUCUGAUUAGCUUGUUGGCGGGGUAACGGCCCACCAAGGCUACGAUCAGUAGGGGUUCUGAGAGGAAGGUCCCCCACAUUGGAACUGAGACACGGUCCAAACUCCUACGGGAGGCAGCAGUGAGGAAUAUUGGUCAAUGGACGGAAGUCUGAACCAGCCAAGUAGCGUGCAGGAUGACGGCCCUAUGGGUAGUAAACUGCUUUUGUAUGGGGAUAAAGUUAGGGACGUGUCCCUAUCUGCAGGUACCAUACGAAUAGGGACCGGCUAAUGCCUGCGCAGGAGCCGCGGUAAUACGGAAGGUCCAGGCGUUAUGCCGGAUUUAUUGGGUUUAAAGGGAGCGCAGGCUGGAGAUUAAGUGUGUUGUGAAAUGUAGACGCUCAACGUCUGAAUUGCAGCGCUUACUGGUUUCCUUGAGUACGCACAACGUUGGCGGAAUUCGUCGUGUAGCGGUGAAAUGCUUAGAUAUGACGAAGAACUCCGAUUGCGAAGGCAGCUGACGGGAGCGCAACUGACGCUUAAGCUCGAAGGUGCGGGUAUCAAACAGGAUUAGAUACCCUGGUAGUCCGCACAGUAAACGAUGGAUGCUCGCUGUUGGUACCUGGUAUCAGCGGCUAAGCGAAAGCAUUAA